RNAcentral lists this ribosomal RNA (476 nucleotides) under uncultured bacterium. RNAcentral's name for it is "partial 16S ribosomal RNA". It matches the Rfam family "Bacterial small subunit ribosomal RNA", at positions 30 to 507 of the family's 1533-position model. The record is from RNAcentral.
UUGAACGCUGGCGGCAUGCCUUACACAUGCAAGUCGAACGGUAACAGGUUAAGCUGCCGAGUGGCGAACGGGUGAGUAAUGUAUCGGAACGUGCCCAGUCGUGGGGGAUAACUGCUCGAAAGAGCAGCUAAUACCGCAUACGACCUGAGGGUGAAAGCGGGGGAUCGCAAGACCUCGCGCGAUUGGAGCGGCCGAUAUCAGAUUAGGUAGUUGGUGAGGUAAAGGCUCACCAAGCCGACGAUCUGUAGCUGGUCUGAGAGGACGACCAGCCACACUGGGACUGAGACACGGCCCAGACUCCUACGGGAGGCAGCAGUGGGGAAUUUUGGACAAUGGGCGCAAGCCUGAUCCAGCCAUGCCGCGUGCGGGAAGAAGGCCUUCGGGUUGUAAACCGCUUUUGUCAGGGAAGAAAAGGUUCUGGCUAAUACCUGGGACUCAUGACGGUACCUGAAGAAUAAGCACCGGCUAACUACGUG